UAAGGAAUAUUGGACAAUGGAGGCAACUCUGAUCCAGCCAUGCCGCGUGAAGGAAUAAGGCCCUAUGGGUUGUAAACUUCUUUUAGACGGGACAAAACCCCUUUACGUGUAAAGGGUUGAUGGUACUGUCAGAAUAAGCAUCGGCUAACUUCGUGCCAGCAGCCGCGGUAAUACGAAGGAUGCAAGCGUUAUCCGGAAUUAUUGGGUUUAAAGGGUGCGUAGGCGGACUAAUAAGUCAGUGGUGAAAGCCUGCAGCUUAACUGCAGAAUUGCCAUUGAUACUGUUAGUCUUGAGUACAGUUGAGGUAGGCGGAAUGUGUCAUGUAGCGGCGAAAUGCUUAGAUAUGACACAGAACACCGAUUGCGAAGGCAGCUUGCUAGGCUGUAACUGACGCUGAGGCACGAAAGCGUGGGGAGCAAACA
Molecule: ribosomal RNA, 422 nt
Filed under: uncultured bacterium
Lineage: Bacteria
Description: bacterial SSU rRNA
Rfam family: Bacterial small subunit ribosomal RNA
Source: RNAcentral